CAGUAGCCGCGGUAAUACGGAGGGGGCUAGCGUUGUUCGGAAUUACUGGGCGUAAAGCGCACGUAGGCGGCUUGGUAAGUUAGAGGUGAAAGCCUGGAGCUCAACUCCAGAAUUGCCUUUAAGACUGCCGAGCUAGCAGGUGAGAGAGGUAAGUGGAAUUCCGAGUGUAGAGGUGAAAUUCGUAGAUAUUCGGAAGAACACCAGUGGCGAAGGCGACUGACUGGACAAGUAUUGACGCUGAGGUGCGAAAGCGUGGGGAGCAAACAGGAUUAGAUACCCCCGUAGUCCCUGUCUCUUAUAC
This 301-nucleotide ribosomal RNA is filed under the name uncultured bacterium. RNAcentral describes it as "partial 16S ribosomal RNA". It matches the Rfam family "Bacterial small subunit ribosomal RNA", at positions 509 to 807 of the family's 1533-position model. The record is from RNAcentral.